This 595-nucleotide ribosomal RNA is filed under the name Streptomyces sp. SID8111. Its description in RNAcentral is "bacterial SSU rRNA". It matches the Rfam family "Bacterial small subunit ribosomal RNA", at positions 1 to 608 of the family's 1533-position model. Lineage: Bacteria; Bacillati; Actinomycetota; Actinomycetes; Kitasatosporales; Streptomycetaceae. The record is from RNAcentral.
CAUUCACGGAGAGUUUGAUCCUGGCUCAGGACGAACGCUGGCGGCGUGCUUAACACAUGCAAGUCGAACGAUGAACCACCUUCGGGUGGGGAUUAGUGGCGAACGGGUGAGUAACACGUGGGCAAUCUGCCCUGCACUCUGGGACAAGCCCUGGAAACGGGGUCUAAUACCGGAUACUGAACCACUUGGGCAUCCAGGCGGUUCGAAAGCUCCGGCGGUGCAGGAUGAGCCCGCGGCCUAUCAGCUUGUUGGUGAGGUAACGGCUCACCAAGGCGACGACGGGUAGCCGGCCUGAGAGGGCGACCGGCCACACUGGGACUGAGACACGGCCCAGACUCCUACGGGAGGCAGCAGUGGGGAAUAUUGCACAAUGGGCGAAAGCCUGAUGCAGCGACGCCGCGUGAGGGAUGACGGCCUUCGGGUUGUAAACCUCUUUCAGCAGGGAAGAAGCGAAAGUGACGGUACCUGCAGAAGAAGCGCCGGCUAACUACGUGCCAGCAGCCGCGGUAAUACGUAGGGCGCGAGCGUUGUCCGGAAUUAUUGGGCGUAAAGAGCUCGUAGGCGGCUUGUCGCGUCGGUUGUGAAAGCCCGGGGC